This is a non-coding RNA of Salmo salar (Atlantic salmon), 54 nucleotides long. The record is from Rfam. Lineage: Eukaryota; Metazoa; Chordata; Actinopteri; Salmoniformes; Salmonidae.
UUUUUACCAAUUUGUAAGUCGCUCUGGAUAAGAGGGUCUGCUAAAUGAAUUAAA